RNAcentral lists this non-coding RNA (31 nucleotides) under Rattus norvegicus (Norway rat). Lineage: Eukaryota; Metazoa; Chordata; Mammalia; Rodentia; Muridae. The record is from RNAcentral.
UAAAGGAUUCACUGUUAACACAGUACAAGGG